This is a long non-coding RNA of Drosophila subpulchrella, 327 nucleotides long. RefSeq lists it as uncharacterized. The record is from RefSeq and is a predicted model, not a curated record. The transcript is spliced from 3 exons. NCBI's taxonomy places the organism in Eukaryota, Metazoa, Arthropoda, Insecta, Diptera, Drosophilidae.
GCCCACUUGCAACUCGGCUUGAAUCUGCUGACAACGUGCCUCGGAUUCGGAUUCGGAUUCCCUGCUCCCCCCCUGAGGUUCUUUUUUUCAGUUUUGUUCUUUUAACUCAUUUGGGGUCCUCUCGUCUAAUUCAUGUACAUGUCAAAAAUCGUCGUUGCAUUAUGAGAGUCGAGAGUUGGAUCCAGAUAUAUAACUGAAGUCGCCGACGGAUUUGGUCACCAAAGGCUAUCUUAUCACCAAAAACAGCAGCAGCAGGAGCAGAAAAACAAAAAACAGAAAACCGAAAAGAAACAGCAGAAGCAGACUGACUGCAAUUGUUUGUCCAGA